RNAcentral lists this RNase P RNA (353 nucleotides) under Diplodia corticola. RNAcentral's name for it is "Botryosphaeria corticola Nuclear RNase P". It matches the Rfam family "Nuclear RNase P". From Rfam's summary of the family: Ribonuclease P (RNase P) is a ubiquitous endoribonuclease, found in archaea, bacteria and eukarya as well as chloroplasts and mitochondria. Lineage: Eukaryota; Fungi; Ascomycota; Dothideomycetes; Botryosphaeriales; Botryosphaeriaceae. The record is from Rfam by way of RNAcentral.
GCCCUCGCCAACGCUGCGUUUCUUUGCUCACAAACAGACACCGGGUUCCGCCCGGCUGUCACCGCGUGCAAAUGAGAAAUUCGGAGUAAUCUUCAACUUCACCUGCCAUCGCUGGGCUCGCCCCGGCGCUCUGGCCGCUGCCCGUGAGGGCCUGGCGUGAACACGCCUGCUCCUGGCAUCAGAAAACUCAGGGCCAGCCGGCAGCACCGCCUUCGGGUGGUGCUUGCGCAGGUCUGUACCCCUAUGGGAGUCAGGGCGAAGAUUGUGUGCGUGCGCAAGCAUGUGACACUUCAGUGCAAUACGCGGCAUACCGUAUUCCGGUAUCAUUCGAUUCCGAUUACUCUGGCGAGGGC